This 359-nucleotide long non-coding RNA is filed under the name Lathyrus oleraceus (garden pea). RNAcentral describes it as "Pisum sativum (pea) long non-coding RNA (PSAT_LNC010058)". The record is from RNAcentral. Lineage: Eukaryota; Viridiplantae; Streptophyta; Magnoliopsida; Fabales; Fabaceae.
UUGUAAUCAUAAAAUCUUGUUUAAACCAGAAGACCACAACACAUCCAACUUUUAUCCCCCUUUUGAUAUUAUCAAAAAUAAGAAAAAAAAUGGUACCAAACAACCAUAUAAAUAAGCAUAGAUACAUUCAUAGCAUUCAUAAAGAUCAUGUAUUAAUACAAAUGACAGUACAAACGUAUUUUUAAGAUGAAAAACUCAAAAAAUACAAAGACAAAACAAAAGUUAUACAAGCUAAGCAUCAUGAUUUUCAUAAAUAUUCUCCAUAACCGGUCAUUUCUAGUUGUUCUAUCAUAUAUCAGAGGACUUACCUUUCGUUAGGAGCAUCAACAAAACCAACACCCAUCUCAUGUCUUAAAUCG